GUCCCUGUGGCGCAAUGAAUAAGAGCGUUGGACUUAUAAUUCAAAGGGCGUGGGUUCGAAUCCCACUUGGGAUG
Molecule: non-coding RNA, 74 nt
Organism: Trichonephila clavata
Lineage: Eukaryota; Metazoa; Arthropoda; Arachnida; Araneae; Nephilidae
Source: the annotation of a GenBank genome assembly